GAUGAAGAACGCAGCGAAAUGCGAUAAGUAGUGUGAAUUGCAGAAUUCAGUGAAUCAUCGAAUCUUUGAACGCACAUUGCGCCCGCCAGCAUUCUGGCGGGCAUGCCUGUUCGAGCGUCAUUUCAACCCUCGAGCCCCCCCCGGGGGCCUCGGUGUUGGGGGACGGCACACCAGCCGCCCCCGAAAUGCAGUGGCGACCCCGCCGCAGCCUCCCCUGCGUAGUAGCACACACCUCGCACCGGAGCGCGGAGGCGGUCACGCCGUAAAACGCCCAACUUUCUUAGAGUUGACCUCGGAUCAGGUAGGAAUACCCGCUGAACUUAAGCAUAUCAAUAAGCGGAGGA
This 344-nucleotide unclassified non-coding RNA is filed under the name soil metagenome. Its description in RNAcentral is "partial contains 5.8S ribosomal RNA, internal transcribed spacer 2, and large subunit ribosomal RNA". The stretch from base 1 to 120 matches the Rfam family "5.8S ribosomal RNA", at positions 35 to 154 of the family's 154-position model. The record is from RNAcentral.